UACUUUGAAUAAAUAUAAUUCAUCUCUCUGCUUUAGUGAUAAAAGUAUACUUUUGUGGAUUAUAUCAACUCAAAAAUACACAUUGUCCGCUGAACCUAAAAUUGUGAUUUCAAUAAAAGCGCAUCUGUUAAGUUUUGCUUGUGCGUCUGACGUCAUGACGUCCAUGCUUGCUGUGACGUCCACAUUUUGGAGAUUUUUCUCUGGCAGCUGAACCGCCAUUUUUGCUCUCUCCGUUUGGACUUGGAAGAAGGCCUGGGAACACGACUCCUUAGACCACCUAAGUGUGGUACUGCAUGUGGAGAUGCAAAGACUGUGGUGGGGAUUUUACAAGAAGAUCUGAACUGCUGAAGCACUACAAGCUAAAUCAUAGACAUAACGGUCGGGGUCACACCUAUCCAUGCACUUACUUAAAUUGUUCAUGUAGACUGAAGACCUGGAAUGCCUUACUGAGCCAUUUGUCCAGAAAUCACCCCGCUCAAAGAACAAAUGCCCUAUCCACAUUCAAAUGCCUUGUUUGUGGUUAUAAUCAACUUUCCAGUGAAAGGGAAUAUUUCCAACACAUCUUUCAGCAUCUUAAAAAUAAGGAGACUGUAACGUGUGUGUUCCAAAACUGUGAAUAUAAAACUAACAUUUAUGAGAACUUUAAAAGCCACAAGUACAGAAAACACUCUGGUACCGUGAACAUCUUUAAGCCGGAAAUAUGUUCUGUGGAAGAAUCUAGUGCCAGUGUCACUAAUGACACUUCAGAUGUGGAAAGUGUAGGGAGCAUUGUCAAUUUAGAUACUGAUUUGGGCAUUGGGGUUGCUGAAAACUUGGAGAAGGACAUUGAACUUAAGAUUGCUUCAAUCCU
This is a long non-coding RNA of Astyanax mexicanus (Mexican tetra), 850 nucleotides long. RefSeq lists it as uncharacterized. Lineage: Eukaryota; Metazoa; Chordata; Actinopteri; Characiformes; Acestrorhamphidae. The transcript has 3 exons. The record is from RefSeq and is a predicted model, not a curated record.